GAUUGAACGCUGGCGGCAUGCUUUACACAUGCAAGUCGAACGGCAGCGCGGGCUUCGGCCUGGCGGCGAGUGGCGAACGGGUGAGUAAUGCAUCGGAACGUGCCCAGUAGUGGGGGAUAGCCCGGCGAAAGCCGGAUUAAUACCGCAUACGACCUGAGGGUGAAAGCGGGGGACCGAAAGGCCUCGCGCUAUUGGAGCGGCCGAUGUCGGAUUAGCUAGUUGGUGGGGUAAAGGCUUACCAAGGCGACGAUCCGUAGCUGGUCUGAGAGGACGACCAGCCACACUGGGACUGAGACACGGCCCAGACUCCUACGGGAGGAAGCAGUGGGGAAUUUUGGACAAUGGGGGCAACCCUGAUCCAGCCAUGCCGCGUGCGGGAAGAAGGCCUUCGGGUUGUAAACCGCUUUUGUUCGGGAAGAAAUCCUCUGGGCUAAUACCCCGGGGGGAUGACGGUACCGGAAGAAUAAGCACCGGCUAACUACGUG
Molecule: ribosomal RNA, 485 nt
Filed under: uncultured bacterium
Lineage: Bacteria
Description: partial 16S ribosomal RNA
Rfam family: Bacterial small subunit ribosomal RNA
Source: RNAcentral